This 482-nucleotide ribosomal RNA is filed under the name uncultured bacterium. Its description in RNAcentral is "partial 16S ribosomal RNA". It matches the Rfam family "Bacterial small subunit ribosomal RNA", at positions 30 to 507 of the family's 1533-position model. The record is from RNAcentral.
AUUGAACGCUGGCGGCAUGCCUUACACAUGCAAGUCGAACGGUAACAGGUCUUCGGAUGCUGACGAGUGGCGAACGGGUGAGUAAUACAUCGGAACGUGCCCGAUCGUGGGGGAUAACGAAGCGAAAGCUUUGCUAAUACCGCAUAAGAUCUACGGAUGAAAGCAGGGGACCGCAAGGCCUUGCGCGAACGGAGCGGCCGAUGGCAGAUUAGGUAGUUGGUGGGAUAAAAGCUUACCAAGCCGACGAUCUGUAGCUGGUCCGAGAGGACGACCAGCCACACUGGGACUGAGACACGGCCCAGACUCCUACGGGAGGCAGCAGUGGGGAAUUUUGGACAAUGGGCGAAAGCCUGAUCCAGCCAUGCCGCGUGCAGGAUGAAGGCCUUCGGGUUGUAAACUGCUUUUGUACGGAACGAAAAGACUCUGGUUAAUACCUGGGGUCCAUGACGGUACCGUAAGAAUAAGCACCGGCUAACUACGUG